AGUGAACGCUGGCGGUAGGCCUAACACAUGCAAGUCGAACGGCAGCACAGUAAGAGCUUGCUCUUACGGGUGGCGAGUGGCGGACGGGUGAGGAAUACAUCGGAAUCUACUUUUUCGUGGGGGAUAACGUAGGGAAACUUACGCUAAUACCGCAUACGACCUACGGGUGAAAGCAGGGGAUCUUCGGACCUUGCGCGAUUGAAUGAGCCGAUGUCGGAUUAGCUAGUUGGCGGGGUAAAGGCCCACCAAGGCGACGAUCCGUAGCUGGUCUGAGAGGAUGAUCAGCCACACUGGAACUGAGACACGGUCCAGACUCCUAAGGGAGGCAGCAGUGGGGAAUAUUGGACAAUGGGCGCAAGCCUGUUCCAGCCAUACCGCGUGGGUGAAGAAGGCCUUCGGGUUGUAAAGCCCUUUUGUUGGGAAAGAAAAGCAGCAGGUUAAUACCCCGCUGUUCUGACGGUACCCAAAGAAUAAGCACCGGCUAACUUCGUG
RNAcentral lists this ribosomal RNA (492 nucleotides) under uncultured bacterium. Its description in RNAcentral is "partial 16S ribosomal RNA". It matches the Rfam family "Bacterial small subunit ribosomal RNA", at positions 29 to 507 of the family's 1533-position model. The record is from RNAcentral.